This 71-nucleotide transfer RNA is filed under the name Heterocephalus glaber (naked mole-rat). It matches the Rfam family "tRNA". From Rfam's summary of the family: Transfer RNA (tRNA) molecules are approximately 80 nucleotides in length. Their secondary structure includes four short double-helical elements and three loops (D, anti-codon, and T loops). The record is from Rfam by way of RNAcentral. Lineage: Eukaryota; Metazoa; Chordata; Mammalia; Rodentia; Bathyergidae.
GGAGGUGUAGCUCAGUGGUAGAGCACAUGACUAUCAUGUGUAAGGCCUGGGUUCAAUCCCCAAUACUACAA